RNAcentral lists this ribosomal RNA (486 nucleotides) under uncultured bacterium. RNAcentral describes it as "bacterial SSU rRNA". It matches the Rfam family "Bacterial small subunit ribosomal RNA", at positions 28 to 526 of the family's 1533-position model. The record is from RNAcentral.
GACGAACGCUGGCGGCGUGCUUAACACAUGCAAGUCGAACGGUGAAAGCGGAGCUUGCUCCGCUGGAUCAGUGGCGAACGGGUGAGUAACACGUGGGCAACCUGCCCCAGACUUCGGGAUAACUCUUCGAAAGAGGCGCUAAUACCGGAUAUGAACUCUGCAGGCAUCUGCGAAGUUGGAAAGUUUUUCGGUCUGGGAUGGGCCCGCGGCCUAUCAGCUAGUUGGUGAGGUAGUGGCUCACCAAGGCGACGACGGGUAGCCGGCCUGAGAGGGCGACCGGCCACACUGGGACUGAGACACGGCCCAGACUCCUACGGGAGGCAGCAGUGGGGAAUAUUGCGCAAUGGGCGAAAGCCUGACGCAGCAACGCCGCGUGCGGGAUGAAGGCCUUCGGGUUGUAAACCGCUUUCAGCAGGGAAGAAGCGAAAGUGACGGUACCUGCAGAAGAAGCACCGGCUAACUACGUGCCAGCCGCCGCCGUAACAC